Molecule: long non-coding RNA, 2574 nt
Organism: Hipposideros armiger (great roundleaf bat)
Lineage: Eukaryota; Metazoa; Chordata; Mammalia; Chiroptera; Hipposideridae
Exons: 3
Source: RefSeq, a predicted model, not a curated record
GAAGAAAGGAGGGUGGGAGGCGGGCCUGAGGGACCAGCACUCCAGGGAGGCAGAGCUCCAGGACUGCUAGGACCCGGACCUCAGCGCUGUGGUCCCACGAGCCAGGCCCUGAGCCCCCGAGAAACCACAGGACCACCUCUCCCAGAGAGCAAGACGCCAAAUGGCAGGUGACACACUGAGCAUCCGUGCGGCCAGCUGCUCUCGUCGUGUGGGGAAGACCGGCGCUAUAUGGGAGGACUGACCGUGCCAGGGCUCGCCCCAGCAGGGUACAGCUCUCUCAACGGAGGUUCAGGACGGCCGUAUUAGUGCAACUGCUUUCAGGGUCUUCUGCAGCCACGGAUGGGGCAGGAGCUGGGCACAGUGCCAGCGGCGGUCCCGAUCAGAAAUGAUUUCCCAAUAAAGCUCCACUGCUUGUCACCACAGCAGACGGCUCGGAGAACAUGAGCCUCUCCACGAAGUUCAACUUUGAAACUUCCUCCAGGCCCACCAUGGCCUCCGCGUCUCACUGGUGACGCCGGGAUAGCUAGGAAAGGUGGGCCUGUCGGGGUGCAGGCCACUUCCAGAAGGUCCAGGUGCAAGGGGGGUGGGGGGGCAGCUGUCGGAAAGCAGGGCGGAGAGGAUGGGGGGCUUCCUGACGGGCGUGGGCAUCUGCCAUGCGCCUGGCGCAGGGUGGCCCCAGCUCUGUUCUCUGAGGAGGCAUCCCAGGCUGUCGGCCCUGGUGGUGAAGGGGUGGGGGAGGGGUUAAUCCCUAGCAGCCGGAUGAAACCAGAGGAGAAGCUCCCAAGAGGACGACUUUCGUAAGUCCUGAGGGCACCUGGUCCCCCAGGGCCUCUGUUCCACCAGUUGCCACAGGCCUGGCCUGGGGUCCAGGUCCCCUCUUCUGGCAGCCAAGGUAAAUGAGGCCCAUUGGGGUGGCUAAGGCCAAGGAGAGUGGGUGACCCUGCCCCCCUUCUGUGCCAGGCCCUGACAGUCAUCCAGGGCCCUGCACCACCAGGGGCUCCUGCCCUCAGGCCAGCCCAACCUCCUAGGUCCACCUGAGACCCUUCCCUGUUCCUGCCAUUCUCGGGCAGGGAGCUGGCCUUGCAAGGUCUGUAGAUGAAGGGGCUGGGAGAGGCUGGGAGGGGCGGGAGUGCCCCGGACGCGAAGGCCCCAGUGCUUGGUUCCGGCCCUGCCUAGAAUCUGCUGCUCACACAGGUGUCCCCACAGCUUCCUAGCAUGGCCCGGGCGCUGGGCACACACUAGCUGUCUGAGGCCUGGCGGGGCCUUCCUUUGCCUCGGGGAGGCCCGGCGACCCCAGACACAGCUGUUUGGGAGUCGUAAGUCAGCUGGCACCUGCAAUGUGCCAGACCCAGGAGCCCCUACAACCAGGAGCAGGCCCAGCCACAGGUCAACUCCUCCAGGGGCCCCCGAGACCACCUGCUACGGCAGCUCGGUUGGUUCACACACGUAGGGUCUGUUUUCCAGCAGUUGGGGGGCUCUGGGGGUGAGGACCCUGUCUUGUCCCCCUGGUGGUCUCAGCAUCUAGACCAGUCCCUGGCACCGGCGGGUGCGAACAUCCUGCCCCCACUCUGGAGGGCUGUACUGGCAGCUGACGAAGGGCGACCUCCGUGCCACAGGAGGACAGCUGCUCAUCUGGGUGGCCUCCACUCAGGGAUGGGGGCCCUGGGCUGGAGUGUGCUACGGGGUGGGAGGUGCCAGGACUGUGGGCUGGGAGGAGGCGGGACAGAGACGUGAAGAGGGGCUGAGGUGAGGUGGCUGGAACAGUGCUGUGGGAGCCCCUGCAAAAGGGGGUGCAGAACAGAGCCCCAAAGCUGCAGGGUCCCAGCACCCUGAGUGACAUCUGCUUGUGGCCCACGGAGAGGAGCUGCCUGCCACCCAGCCCCCCGCACACCCUGGCCUGGGAGGGUAGGGUCACCCCAGAGCCCACCCCAGGGCCCACCUCGUCCCACCUCAGAGCCCACAGGGCACAGGUUCUGCAGGGUCAGGGGUGGCCAAGGGUGCCUGGGCAUCUGCUGCCACCAAGUGGCAGAUCGAGUGGUGGCUCCAGGAGACGGCUGAGGCCCAGGGUAUCAGAAGAACUCUUCACAGGAGCCCCGCCCCCAGGCCCCAAGCCCAGGACCACGGCCAAUUACUGGACUUUGUCACCUCAUUUCUCCUUAAUUAAGGAAACCAGGUUCCUCCCUUUUGUAAGGACACAGCGAUGGUCCUGGGAAGGGCAGCUGGGGUCUGCAGAGCUGGGAGCUGAGGCUCAGGGCUGUUCUGGCAGCAGGGGCUUGGCAGCCGCGGGUGGGCUCUAACUGGGAGGGGGGCUGUGGCGGGGACCCCCUAGUGUGACUUCCUGCCCAGCUCCUCCUCCUCAGAGACCUCUGCAGACCCCAGGCCUGCGGGGUGACAGCGGUAGGAGGGGCCUCCGCGACCACACCCUCAUUAGCUGGAAAAUGGCUCCUUCAGGGCGAGUCCGCCUUCCCUUCAGCCCCACCUCUGUGGUGGAGGAACGAACCCCGGCCUCGGUGUCCCCAAAGGUUGGGGUCAGGACCCCUGCUCUGAUAGUGUCACAAAGGGGAGGUCACCUCA